Long non-coding RNA from Cannabis sativa, 2092 nucleotides. RefSeq lists it as uncharacterized. Lineage: Eukaryota; Viridiplantae; Streptophyta; Magnoliopsida; Rosales; Cannabaceae. The record is from RefSeq and is a predicted model, not a curated record. The transcript is spliced from 2 exons.
AAUAGUGAGAUAAAUAAAUAGUGAAGCAUUAGAUUAGUUAGUUAGUUUAAAAUUUAAAAUUUAAAUUUAAAUCAGCAUAAUUUUAUCUGAUUAGUUAGAUAUUUAUUUUUAAAUUUAAACCUAUUAUACGAUAUGUUAUAUACGUAUAUACUCUAGAACCCUAGCAGCCAGAUAGUAUCGUAUUCCUUUAUUCUCACCAUCUCUCAAUUUCCUUUUUUUUAUUCUCUCUAUUGAACCAAAUCAAUUGUUUUAAUCUUAAGAGCUUCGGGGUUAGCAAUCAACCGAUCAUCGUUCCGUGUCUUCGAAAUCUUCAGGUAAAAUUCGUACUUGUUUUUAUUUUCGUUUUCAGAGAAAUAGGCUUUCAUAAAACUAUCAUAUCUCUCUCCCCAUAGGUCCGUUUUCAGUGAUCUAGGUACCGUUUUAAAGAUAAUUUAAUGAUCUAUAUUUUUUAUGAAGAAACUCUUUCCUAAUUCUGAGUAUUUCGAUGUCAAAAAUUCAUGUUUUACAGACUGUCGAUUUACAGUUUUUUUUAAAAAUUUCUUUCCGAUAUUACCUUAGUAAAAGUGUGAUAUCUCUCUCGAUAUCUAUUAUUUUACAGCGAUUCUUGUACUGUUAGAAAGAUAAUUCAAUAAUUUAUAUUUUCUUUGAAGAAACCUUUCCCUAGUUCGGAGUUCUUACCAGUCAAAAGUUAGGAUCUUUACUCGGUUAUGGUAUUUCGUUUUAAGUUUUGUUUCAGAAAAAGUGUCUUCAGUAAAAAUUCAAUAUCUCUCUCAAUUUUGAUCCAUUUUAAAAGAUCUUUAUCUCGUUUUAAAGCUUAGGAAAAUAGCUACAUUUUUUAUGAAGAAAGUAUUGUCUAGAUCAGGGUGUAACUAUUUUUAAAACAUUUAUUUUUAGGCUGUAUUCAGAAAUCAGCGUGAUCCAGAAUUUCAAAGAAACUGUUUUGAGAAAACAUGCAUAACUCCUAGAUUAUAGCUCCGAUUUUGAUGAUCUUUAUACCGUUAGAAAGGUCUUUCAAUUAACUAAAAACUUUGUGAACAGUAGGACUUCUAAUUCAAACGUUUUAUAUGUCAAAUUCUAGGUUAAACUUGCUGUACAGUAAGAGUAAUAAAUAUAUUGAGUUUAUCGGUGGACUAAGGGUUUCACUAAUUGUUAUAGGGCCUAGAAGGUAUCGUAAGAGUUAAUUACAGCGGAGUUGAGGUAAGGAAAAAUAAUUAUACUUUAUACUUGCUUUUUAUAUGGUUUGAGUAUCUAGUAUGACUGCUUGAAUAAAUUGUAUUGAAACUGUGGAAUGUGAUAGUUUCGGUGAAAUAGUGUUUUAUCGAUGAAUUGUAUAUGGAUGUUUAAUCAUGUUCCAGGUACUUGGAAGUGGUUGGAAACCACACAUGUAUGGUGAUGUGGUAAGUGAGGCAGUGUACGUAAGAGUGCACUGGUUAUUGGUACUGCGUUCUGGUUAAGAACGUAAGACACUCCAGAUUUGUAUGGAAGCUGGAGUGUGAUUGUGAGUGUGAGUGUGUGGUAUUUCAGUAUUUGUGUGGCUGCCUCUAUUUAUACUUAUGAUUAGGUUGUUGUAUGUUUGAUGUAUAUGUUUGUGCUAUGAUGUGUGAAUGCUGGUACAUAGUAAGGAAAAAUAAUUAUACUUUAUACUUGCUUUUUAUAUGGUUUGAGUAUCUAGUAUGACUGCUUGAAUAAAUUGUAUUGAAACUGUGGAAUGUGAUAGUUUCGGUGAAAUAGUGUUUUAUCGAUGAAUUGUAUAUGGAUGUUUAAUCAUGUUCCAGGUACUUGGAAGUGGUUGGAAACCACACAUGUAUGGUGAUGUGGUAAGUGAGGCAGUGUACGUAAGAGUGCACUGGUUAUUGGUACUGCGUUCUGGUUAAGAACGUAAGACACUCCAGAUUUGUAUGGAAGCUGGAGUGUGAUUGUGAGUGUGAGUGUGUGGUAUUUCAGUAUUUGUGUGGCUGCCUCUAUUUAUACUUAUGAUUAGGUUGUUGUAUGUUUGAUGUAUAUGUUUGUGCUAUGAUGUGUGAAUGCUGGUACAUAGUAUUGUGUUUUUCCUUACUGGGCUUUGCAGCUCACCCCUUAUUUACCCCCUAUG